UGGAAAAUCAAGUAUUUUUAGGGAUCUGC
This 29-nucleotide non-coding RNA is filed under the name Mus musculus (house mouse). The record is from RNAcentral. Lineage: Eukaryota; Metazoa; Chordata; Mammalia; Rodentia; Muridae.